This 71-nucleotide transfer RNA is filed under the name Citricoccus zhacaiensis. RNAcentral describes it as "tRNA-Phe". Lineage: Bacteria; Bacillati; Actinomycetota; Actinomycetes; Micrococcales; Micrococcaceae. The record is from RNAcentral.
CGCCAGCUCGGGCGCGGACAUCGGCCGGUUGAAGACCGGCCCGUCCGGUUCCAAGGCCCGGCCGGCGGCCA